GCCGCCGGAGCGGGCCCGGAUCGAACUCCUAAAGCGGGUGUCGCAGGUUCGAAUCCUGCCGGGGGCA
Molecule: transfer RNA, 67 nt
Filed under: Streptomyces scabiei
Lineage: Bacteria; Bacillati; Actinomycetota; Actinomycetes; Kitasatosporales; Streptomycetaceae
Description: tRNA-Arg
Source: RNAcentral